Molecule: unclassified non-coding RNA, 311 nt
Filed under: fungal sp.
Lineage: Eukaryota; Fungi
Also listed under: 1 other name
Description: partial internal transcribed spacer region
Rfam family: Eukaryotic small subunit ribosomal RNA (bases 1-46)
Source: RNAcentral
AAGUCGUAACAAGGUUUCCGUAGGUGAACCUGCGGAAGGAUCAUUACUAGAGCAAAGGAUAGACAGCGCCCGCGGAGCCUUGCUCCCUGGGGCUACCCUACUUCGGUAAGGUUUAGAGUCGUCGGGCCUCUCGAAGAAGCUCGGUCCUGAACUCCACCCUUGAAUAAAUUACCUUUGUUGCUUUGGCGGGCCGCCUCGUGCCAGCGGCUUCGGCUGUUGCGUGCCCGCCAGAGGACCACAACUCUUGUUUUUAGUGAUGUCUGAGUACUAUAUAAUAGUUAAAACUUUCAACAACGGAUCUCUUGGUUCUG